This 236-nucleotide long non-coding RNA is filed under the name Panax ginseng (ginseng). RNAcentral describes it as "long non-coding RNA (PGIN_LNC011074)". The record is from RNAcentral. Lineage: Eukaryota; Viridiplantae; Streptophyta; Magnoliopsida; Apiales; Araliaceae.
AAGUACCUGGAUUUGGGGUCGCCACAGAGAAAGUAGAAGAGAAGUCUGCUACCUCACUAUUCCAGUAUCCAGUCUUCUUAUGAGGUAAGAGAUAUUAUUUUUUUCAGUAUUUAUAGGAAUAAUAUUGUCUUCCAUACUCUGUUGUAAGACCCCAACUUUUCCAUAAAGAUAAUUUUUCUAUAAAUAUCAUUUUUGAAUAUUAUGGGAUGAAUUUGAUAUAAUGUUAUAGUUGUGGG